RNAcentral lists this ribosomal RNA (253 nucleotides) under uncultured prokaryote. RNAcentral's name for it is "partial 16S ribosomal RNA". It matches the Rfam family "Bacterial small subunit ribosomal RNA", at positions 524 to 776 of the family's 1533-position model. The record is from RNAcentral.
UACGAAGGGGACUAGCGUUGUUCGGAAUUACUGGGCGUAAAGCGCACGUAGGCGGAUUGCUAAGUCAGGGGUGAAAUCCCGGGGCUCAACCUCGGAACUGCCUUUGAUACUGGCUAUCUUGAGUAUGGGAGAGGUGUGUGGAACUCCGAGUGUAGAGGUGAAAUUCGUAGAUAUUCGGAAGAACACCAGUGGCGAAGGCGACACACUGGCCCAUUACUGACGCUGAGGCUCGAAAGCGUGGGGAGCAAACAGG